Molecule: ribosomal RNA, 569 nt
Filed under: uncultured bacterium
Lineage: Bacteria
Description: bacterial SSU rRNA
Rfam family: Bacterial small subunit ribosomal RNA
Source: RNAcentral
CCUACGGGAGGCAGCAGUGGGGAAUAUUGCACAAUGGGCGAAAGCCUGAUGCAGCGACGCCGCGUGAGGGACGAAGGCCUUCGGGUUGUAAACCUCUUUCAGCAGGGAAGAAGCGAAAGUGACGGUACCUGCAGAAGAAGCGCCGGCUAACUACGUGCCGGCAGCCGCGGUAAUACGUAGGGCGCAAGCGUUAUCCGGAAUUAUUGGGCGUAAAGAGCUCGUAGGCGGUUUGUCGCGUCUGCUGUGAAAGCCCGGGGCUCAACCCCGGGUCUGCAGUGGGUACGGGCAGACUAGAGUGCAGUAGGGGAGACUGGAAUUCCUGGUGUAGCGGUGAAAUGCGCAGAUAUCAGGAGGAACACCGAUGGCGAAGGCAGGUCUCUGGGCUGUAACUGACGCUGAGGAGCGAAAGCAUGGGGAGCGAACAGGAUUAGAUACCCUGGUAGUCCAUGCCGUAAACGUUGGGCACUAGGUGUGGGGGACGAUUCCACGUUUUCCGCGCCGUAGCUAACGCAUUAAGUGCCCCGCCUGGGGAGUACGGCCGCAAGGCUAAAACUCAAAUGAAUUGACGG